CCUACGGGAGGCAGCAGUGGGGAAUUUUGGACAAUGGGGGCAACCCUGAUCCGGCCAUUCCGCGUGAGUGAAGAAGGCCUUCGGGUUGUAAAGCUCUUUCGCAAGGGAAGAAAACUUAUGAUCGAAUAAAUCAUGAGGUUGACGGUACCUUGAUAAGAAGCACCGGCUAACUACGUGCCAGCAGCCGCGGUAAUACGUAGGGUGCGAGCGUUAAUCGGAAUUACUGGGCGUAAAGCGUGCGCAGGCGGUUUUGUAAGUCGGAUGUGAAAUCCCCGGGCUCAACCUGGGAACUGCGUUCGAAACUGCAAGGCUAGAGUGUGUCAGAGGGGGGUAGAAUUCCACGUGUAGCAGUGAAAUGCGUAGAGAUGUGGAGGAAUACCAAUGGCGAAGGCAGCCCCCUGGGAUAACACUGACGCUCAUGCACGAAAGCGUGGGGAGCAAACAGGAUUAGAUACCCUGGUAGUCCACGCCCUAAACGAUGUCAACUAGUUGUUGGUAGAGUAAAAUCUAUGAGUAACGUAGCUAACGCGUGAAGUUGACCGCCUGGGGAGUACGGUCGCAAGAAUUAAAACUCAAAGGAAAUUGACGGGCNGNGAGNGCGAGACGACACGAGGAGGAGG
Molecule: ribosomal RNA, 620 nt
Filed under: uncultured bacterium
Lineage: Bacteria
Description: bacterial SSU rRNA
Rfam family: Bacterial small subunit ribosomal RNA
Source: RNAcentral